GAAUUAUUGGGCGUAAAGGGCUCGCAGGCGGUUUCUUAAGUCUGAUGUGAAAGCCCCCGGCUCAACCGGGGAGGGUCAUUGGAAACUGGGGAACUUGAGUGCAGAAGAGGAGAGUGGAAUUCCACGUGUAGCGGUGAAAUGCGUAGAGAUGUGGAGGAACACCAGUGGCGAAGGCGACUCUCUGGUCUGUAACUGACGCUGAGGAGCGAAAGCGUGGGGAGCGAACAGGAUUAGAUACCCUGGUAGUCCACGCCGUAAACGAUGAGUGCUAAGUGUUAGGGGGUUUCCGCCCCUUAGUGCUGCAGCUAACGCAUUAAGCACUCCGCCUGGGGAGUACGGUCGCAAGACUGAAACUCAAAGGAAUUGACGGGGGCCCGCACAAGCGGUGGAGCAUGUGGUUUAAUUCGAAGCAACGCGAAAACCUUACCAGGUCUUGAC
This 438-nucleotide ribosomal RNA is filed under the name Bacillus sp. (in: firmicutes). RNAcentral describes it as "bacterial SSU rRNA". It matches the Rfam family "Bacterial small subunit ribosomal RNA", at positions 548 to 985 of the family's 1533-position model. The record is from RNAcentral. Lineage: Bacteria; Bacillati; Bacillota; Bacilli; Caryophanales; Bacillaceae.